RNAcentral lists this ribosomal RNA (200 nucleotides) under Salmonella enterica subsp. enterica serovar Ohio. RNAcentral's name for it is "partial 23S ribosomal RNA". It matches the Rfam family "Bacterial large subunit ribosomal RNA", at positions 2743 to 2925 of the family's 2925-position model. The record is from RNAcentral. Lineage: Bacteria; Pseudomonadati; Pseudomonadota; Gammaproteobacteria; Enterobacterales; Enterobacteriaceae.
CGGUAGCUAAAUGCGGAAGAGAUAAGUGCUGAAAGCAUCUAAGCACGAAACUUGCCCCGAGAUGAGUUCUCCCUGAGACUUUAGAUCUCCUGAAGGAACGUUGAAGACGACGACGUUGAUAGGCCGGGUGUGUAAGCGCAGCGAUGCGUUGAGCUAACCGGUACUAAUGAACCGUGAGGCUUAACCUUACAACGCCGAAG